Stomoxys calcitrans (stable fly) is the source of this 844-nucleotide long non-coding RNA. RefSeq lists it as uncharacterized. The transcript has 3 exons. The record is from RefSeq and is a predicted model, not a curated record. Lineage: Eukaryota; Metazoa; Arthropoda; Insecta; Diptera; Muscidae.
UGGAUGUGGAUGUGGUUGUGUCUGCUCUUCCCAGCAAUUUUCGCUUAUCUCUGUCAUUGUGUAGCUUUGACAUAAACCAGACGACACGGCGACAAGCGGCUCACCGCCCAACGAAUCACUCCCGCCGUCCAUCCAUUGCAGCUUUGUCUGAAAUAGGAAGUUGGCCGUAGAUGGGAAAGAGCAAUUUAGGAAGCGUUGUAAAGCUUCAAAGGUACGUGCGACAAUAUGUGGCACACACACACAGCCACACGGAGACGGAGACACAUUUGUUCAGCUAUGCGGUAUAUCGUCGUGCUUAGCAUAACAAGGAUAAUGUGAUUAGCCAUCAAAGGAUUAGAUAAACAAAAGGUGUUAAUUAAAUAUUUUCUUCUUUUCACACGCUCACACGAGACAACGUUGUGCCAUGGAACAACAUGCUCACCACCCCCUCCCUCUCCUAAAAUCCCCAUUAAAUUUUAUAAUUGUUCAAAAAUGAACAAUUAGGCCAACAGCAGAGAGCGGAAGACAUACUGAGUACAAUGAAGACUUGUGUCUUGGUUUGAGGCAAUUUUAUAAUGACACACAUCUUUCCGCAUGGCAUAACAUUUAAAAAGCUCGAUGAAGUAGAGAAAAAUAUUAAAAUUUUUAAUACAAAAUAUUAACGGCUACAUAUUAAGCAUAAAAAAAAUCAAACCCCACCCUAAAAUUCUCCAGGUCUGAAGAUUGUAACCCGUAACUAACAUGAGUACAUCCGCCAUUCUUCAGUCGUGAGUUUUAAAUCAAAUACAAGUUUGUCCAUGGACGUUCCAUUAAGGAACAGUGGAAAACUUCUGAAAUAUCAAUUAGUGCUGACCCUUUUACAGCC